Molecule: ribosomal RNA, 255 nt
Filed under: uncultured bacterium
Lineage: Bacteria
Description: partial small subunit ribosomal RNA
Rfam family: Bacterial small subunit ribosomal RNA
Source: RNAcentral
AGGACGAACGCUGGCGGCGUGCUUAACACAUGCAAGUCGAGCGGAAAGGCCCUUCGGGGUACUCGAGCGGCGAACGGGUGAGUAACACGUGAGCAACCUGCCCUCAGCUCUGGGAUAGCUCCGGGAAACCGGAAUUAAUACCGGAUACGACUACGGCCGACAUCGGCUUUGGUGGAAAGGAUUUCCGGCUGAGGAUGGGCUCGCGGCCUAUCAGCUAGUUGGUGGGGUAAUGGCCCACCAAGGCGACGACGGGUA